ACCUGUAUGCCAUACCAAUAUCUCCACACUCCUUGGUUACAAGAACAACUAACCUAUAUGAUAUACAAUAACUUACACUUGAUAAAUGUCAUCGUUCCUUAAUGAUGUAUCAUUUGAUCAUGAAUAAGUUUAAGAACUAGUCGAUAAAUUCUCCUUUAUCGAUUGUCAUAUAGUUUUAAGGACUUCAUCAUAAUACAAGAGUUCUAAUAAGGAAGAUGU
This 219-nucleotide long non-coding RNA is filed under the name Elaeis guineensis (African oil palm). Its description in RNAcentral is "long non-coding RNA (EGUI_LNC053094)". The record is from RNAcentral. Lineage: Eukaryota; Viridiplantae; Streptophyta; Magnoliopsida; Arecales; Arecaceae.